GUGCUCGCUUCAGCAGCACAUAUACUAAAAUUGGAACAAUACAGAGAAGAUUAGCACGGCCCCUGGGCAAGGAUGACACACAAAUUCAUGAAGUGUUCUGUAUUUCU
Otolemur garnettii (small-eared galago) is the source of this 107-nucleotide small nuclear RNA. NCBI's taxonomy places the organism in Eukaryota, Metazoa, Chordata, Mammalia, Primates, Galagidae. The record is from Ensembl.